This is a long non-coding RNA of Melanotaenia boesemani (Boeseman's rainbowfish), 300 nucleotides long. RefSeq lists it as uncharacterized. The record is from RefSeq and is a predicted model, not a curated record. The transcript has 3 exons. NCBI's taxonomy places the organism in Eukaryota, Metazoa, Chordata, Actinopteri, Atheriniformes, Melanotaeniidae.
AUAAGAAUGUCCUUCUCAGUUUCACAUUUAAAAGUCUUCUAUCCAAACAGGUUUUUUCUAUAUUUUCUUGCUGCCACUUGCCAGAGGUUACAUGAGUUAUGAGCUGUUGAGAGAAUAAUUUUCAAAACACAAUAGGAAAACUAUUGAGAAGAAUGUGCAAUACUAUAAAAAAUGGUUAAAUUUGGGCUGCAGACAAAAGUCCUAGGUGGGUUUGUCCGCAGUUUCCACGGUGGCCUCACCAGUGUUUGCCCAUUUGGGCCUCAAGUGGCCUACAUGGGCUCCCCAAUGUGGGACCCAUUU